CUACGUGCCAGCAGCCGCGGUAAUACGGAGGGUGCGAGCGUUAAUCGGAAUAACUGGGCGUAAAGGGCACGCAGGCGGUGACUUAAGUGAGGUGUGAAAGCCCCGGGCUUAACCUGGGAAUUGCAUUUCAUACUGGGUCGCUAGAGUACUUUAGGGAGGGGUAGAAUUCCACGUGUAGCGGUGAAAUGCGUAGAGAUGUGGAGGAAUACCGAAGGCGAAGGCAGCCCCUUGGGAAUGUACUGACGCUCAUGUGCGAAAGCGUGGGGAGCAAACAGGAUUAGAUACCCUGGUAGUCCACGCUGUAAACGCUGUCGAUUUGGGGAUUGGGCUUUAAGCUUGGUGCCCGUAGCUAGCGUGAUAAAUCGACCGCCUGGGGAGUACGGCCGCAAGGUCAAAACUCAAAUGAAUUGACGGGGGCCCGCACAAGCGGUGGAGCAUGUGGUUUAAUUCGAUGCAACGCGAAGAACCUUACCUACUCUUGACAUCCAUGGAAUCUUGUAGAGAUACGGGAGUGC
This 515-nucleotide ribosomal RNA is filed under the name uncultured bacterium. RNAcentral's name for it is "bacterial SSU rRNA". It matches the Rfam family "Bacterial small subunit ribosomal RNA", at positions 501 to 1017 of the family's 1533-position model. The record is from RNAcentral.